CGGCGGACGGGUGAGUAACGCGUGGGUAACCUGCCUCAUACAGGGGGAUAACAGUUAGAAAUGACUGCUAAUACCGCAUAAGCGCACAGUACCACAUGGUACGGUGUGAAAAACUCCGGUGGUAUGAGAUGGACCCGCGUCUGAUUAGCUAGUUGGUGGGGUAACGGCCCACCAAGGCGACGAUCAGUAGCCGACCUGAGAGGGUGAUCGGCCACAUUGGGACUGAGACACGGUCCAA
RNAcentral lists this ribosomal RNA (238 nucleotides) under uncultured bacterium. RNAcentral describes it as "partial 16S ribosomal RNA". It matches the Rfam family "Bacterial small subunit ribosomal RNA", at positions 96 to 334 of the family's 1533-position model. The record is from RNAcentral.